Molecule: ribosomal RNA, 253 nt
Filed under: uncultured bacterium
Lineage: Bacteria
Description: partial 16S ribosomal RNA
Rfam family: Bacterial small subunit ribosomal RNA
Source: RNAcentral
UACAGGGGGUGCAAACGUUGCUCGGAAUUAUUGUGCGUAAAGCGCUCGCAGGUGGUUCGUCGCGUCGUGCGUGAAAGCCCCCGGCUCAACUGGGGAGUGUCGUGCGAUACGGGCGAACUGGAGGCCAGUAGGGGGAUGCGGAAUUCCGGGUGUAGUGGUGGAAUGCGUAGAGAUCCGGAGGAACACCAGCGGCGAAGGCGGCAUCCUGGACUGGUCCUGACACUCAGGAGCGAAAGCGUGGGGAGCGAUCCGG